GAUGAACGCUGGCGGUAUGCUUAACACAUGCAAGUCGAACGGACUCUUCGGAGUUAGUGGCGGACGGGUGGGUAACGCGUGAGAAUCUGGCUUUGGGUUCGGGACAACCACUGGAAACGGUGGCUAAUACCGGAUGUGCUGAGAGGUAAAAGAGAAAUUGCCUGAAGAUGAGCUCGCGUCUGAUUAGCUAGUUGGUGAGGUAAAGGCUCACCAAGGCAGCGAUCAGUAGCUGGUCUGAGAGGAUGACCAGCCACACUGGGACUGAGACACGGCCCAGACUAAUACGGGAGGAAGCAGUGGAGAAUGUUCCGGAAUGGGCGAGAGUCUGACGGAGCAAUACCGCGUGAGAGAAGAAGGCUCUUGGGUUGUAAACCUCUUUUCUUAGAGAAGAACAAAAUGACGGUACCUAAGGAAUCAGCAUCGGCUAACUCCGUG
Molecule: ribosomal RNA, 435 nt
Filed under: uncultured bacterium
Lineage: Bacteria
Description: partial 16S ribosomal RNA
Rfam family: Bacterial small subunit ribosomal RNA
Source: RNAcentral